UUGUCAAGCAUCACAAGGACACAGCUGAGCUUAGCAGAAAAGUUGAACACCGCAGCUCAAAUCCUCUAAUUUCUAUCCAUUGGUUGAAUUUGUUGGUCAAAACAUUUUUAGUUUUGACCGUUUGUAAUCCAUCCAUCACUAAAGCUCGAGGAAUUGGCCAUUUAUUCUUUGGGAGGGUUGUAUUAAUUUUGAGUGGGUAGGUUGUGCACACUUUUA
This 216-nucleotide unclassified non-coding RNA is filed under the name Hevea brasiliensis (rubber tree). Lineage: Eukaryota; Viridiplantae; Streptophyta; Magnoliopsida; Malpighiales; Euphorbiaceae. The record is from RNAcentral.